CCUACGGGAGGCAGCAGUGGGGAAUUUUGGACAAUGGGCGAAAGCCUGAUCCAGCCAUGCCGCGUGCAGGAUGAAGGCCUUCGGGUUGUAAACUGCUUUUGUACGGAACGAAAAGGUCUUUUCUAAUAAAGAAGGCUCAUGACGGUACCGUAAGAAUAAGCACCGGCUAACUACGUGCCAGCAGCCGCGGUAAUACGUAGGGUGCGAGCGUUAAUCGGAAUUACUGGGCGUAAAGCGUGCGCAGGCGGUUAUAUAAGACAGUUGUGAAAUCCCCGGGCUCAACCUGGGAACUGCAUCUGUGACUGUAUAGCUAGAGUACGGUAGAGGGGGAUGGAAUUCCGCGUGUAGCAGUGAAAUGCGUAGAUAUGCGGAGGAACACCGAUGGCGAAGGCAAUCCCCUGGACCUGUACUGACGCUCAUGCACGAAAGCGUGGGGAGCAAACAGGAUUAGAUACCCUGGUAGUCCACGCCCUAAACGAUGUCAACUGGUUGUUGGGUCUUCACUGACUCAGUAACGAAGCUAACGCGUGAAGUUGACCGGCCGUCGGGAGGUACGGCCGGCGACGGUUAGGUAACGUACGAAAGGAAGUAGACGGCGUGAGACGUGCCGACGGACGACGACGAGGGAGGAGG
Molecule: ribosomal RNA, 633 nt
Filed under: uncultured bacterium
Lineage: Bacteria
Description: bacterial SSU rRNA
Rfam family: Bacterial small subunit ribosomal RNA (bases 1-543)
Source: RNAcentral